RNAcentral lists this long non-coding RNA (921 nucleotides) under Sus scrofa (pig). RNAcentral's name for it is "lncRNA (ENSSSCG00070014379.1)". Lineage: Eukaryota; Metazoa; Chordata; Mammalia; Artiodactyla; Suidae. The record is from RNAcentral.
AUGGACGAGGACGUGCUGACCACCCUGAAGAUCCUCACCAUCGGCGAGAGUGGCGUGGGCAAACCCAGACUUAGUGGAAGUGAGAUAACACUUGUGUUGUUGAAAAAUCAUUGCGCAACAAAGGAUAUCCUAACUAAUUCAAGUCAGUGGGUUAUUUUUCAAGUUUAUUUCGUACUUGGAGUGUUAAUGAGCAUGUGUGAGAACAGCCAGGAGAUCAGAAUUAUGAAAUGUGGUGCUGCUACUUGUGUGACCUUGUGUGUGACACUGAACACUCUAGGCCUUCAUUUCCUCAUUUGAAAAGUGAGGUUCAAGUGGAAAUCUCUCAGCCCCUGUCUAGUGUUAAACGGGUAAGAGUCUUUGAUUCUGUGGCUAGCCAAGUAAAGAAGUAGCAUGGUGUUUCAGAAACUUGAAGGGAUUAUAGAGACCUGUUACCCAAAUUGCUGUCCCUCCUAUGCCCCUUAUAUUCCCAUCCUUUUUGGCCAGUUUCAUUUGUAAAUUAAGCAAUGAGGAUUCAUCGUAAUGACACUGAUGAGUUAUAAAUUUGGUUUCCUCCAAGUGGCAUGGUGGUAGUUUCUCCCUCCAUCCAUUGCUCUGCAUGGAGAAUAUUUUGCUCUUUUAAGUUUGAAAAUAUGAAAGCUUAAACAUACAUCCAUUAGAUCAGUGGUUCUUAAGUCAUUUUCAGGUUGUGGAUUCCUUUCAAAAUCUAAUAGAGAAAUAGACUCCCUGCCUAGAAGAAUGUAGAUGUAGAAUUUAGACUAGAUUUCCAGCUAACAGUGAACCGCUGGCUAAGAUCUGCUGCCUUAUACCCAGAGCCUGUAUUAAAAUUUGUUCCUUUCUGGAGUUCCCGUCGUGGCUCAGUGGCUAACGAAUCCGACUAGGAACCAUGAGGUUGUGGGUUCGAUCCCUGGCCUUGCUCAGUGG